UGUGAAAUUGUGUAUGCGUUACAUGACACUGAGUGUGUAAAGUAUGAUAUAUUUAUUGCUCAAUGGGUGUGUGGGUGCAUACGGAUGCUUGUUUGCUACAGGGCUGCUGUAUUAGAGAGUGAUGAACUGCACUUCCUGUCAGCAUGGGCUCUUUACGUGUCAGUCUGCCACGCUGCCACUAGACUCUGGAUGUGGGACAGACAAACGCCCACGGAUACACUCACCAAGAUGAUUUUAUCUGACUUCAUGAACAUGGAACACUUCUCUUUUGUCCUUCUCCCUUCUUUGUAUUCUUUCUCUCACGCACGCGGUGUUCCUAUCAGAGCAUCAUCUUAAGGCAGAUGAAGGAGAGGAGGUGGUGCUGGACUGUUUCCUGCCCUGGCACGCUCUUGUAGUUGGGCAGACUGUGUACCAUUACUCCUGGCAUCCUGGAGAAAAGAAUCUGUGAGAUGACGGAGAGUAUGAAGCGUUGACAGAGGAGUCUAAAAUUGUCCUCAAUCAGCUGAAAGUCAAUGAGGAAGGCAUGUACCUGCCUCCUACAGGAUUAAAAGGGUACUGUGCUGUCCGCAUGUACUUCAUACUGAAAGGUAGGCGACAUUUAUUGAAUUUAAUAACUCAUUGCAGUCUAGAUUUGUCCUCCUUUCAUCUGUCUCUCUUUCCCUCAGUCAACCCACUGCUGUCUACAAGCCCUAGACUGAUUGUGGCUUUGCUGUCCCUGCCCUCGGCUUAUGAUACCAUACCACACUUCUCGGCCUUCAGAGGAGCAGUCUCAUCAUUAUAGUGAUUUUACUGUACUCGGCAUCACAGGCAGCCUUGUCAUCAUAGCGAACCUCAGAGACAAGUGACAUCAUGGGAGGCAAGAAACAAUGCCAGAGAAAACACAGGUUUAACAGUUCUUCCAAAACAUUUUUUCUUUUUUUUUUUAAACUAAACUGAUUACAUUAUCUUUUUUAUUCGUCCAGCUUUCUGGCUUGAAUGGGUUAUUUGUUUCUCUGGAACAAAACAUAGAAUACAAAACAGAACACGUACAUAGAAUAAGUUUUGAUUUUCACUGGAUUACUCAUCAACUUCCUUUAUGAGACACAGACGGUUUGAUUAAAUAAACAUGGAGGA
Molecule: long non-coding RNA, 1113 nt
Organism: Carassius auratus (goldfish)
Lineage: Eukaryota; Metazoa; Chordata; Actinopteri; Cypriniformes; Cyprinidae
Exons: 3
Source: RefSeq, a predicted model, not a curated record